AUUUUUGUUUUGAAAUAUCAGCGGCAUAGGCGGGUUCCCAACAAUUACCUCUUUACAUGAAGAAGUCAUUAGAGAACAUUCUAGUAUGAUGGCUGGUCAUUCUAGAAGAGAUAAAACCAUUGCAAUCAAGGUAUGCCAAAUCAACCGAACCGGACAGUAUAGGGUGUACCGUACUAUACCGGUUUGGUACCGAUACACAAUACGAAGGGUGUGGCAACAUUCGGUAUAGUGAACCGGCCUUGUACUGUACCGUACCGACAUAGUGAUAGGGUUGACACCGGUAUGAGGCCGGUACCAAGAUGGGAUACCUUGAUUGCAAUGGUUGUGGACCAUUUCUAUUGGCCUAGUUUCAAGCGAGAAGUUGGUAGAAGUGUCUCACAAUGUUGGAGUCAUCAAAUUUCAAAGGGAAGAAAGAAAUAUACACUCAUUAUCUUUGCCACAUGAGCCUUGGCAAGACCUAAGCAUGGACUUUGUCCUAGGGUUGCCAAAGUCUCCUAGGGGUCAUGAUUAUGUUCUUAUGGUUGUGGAUCACCUAUUCUAAGAUGGCUCACUAUAUUCCUUGUUCGAAGACUCUCAUUGCUUUCUGUUGUGCUAAACUCUUCUUUAAGAAAGUUGUUCUUCCAAGGUCCGCUGAACCGGUACUGAGACCCAUAUCGGUCAGCGGACGGGCCGGUACGGUUCGGCCUACGAAUAGUUCUUCUUCAUGGGGUGCCUAAGACUAUUGUUUCUAAUCAUAAUAUGAAAUUCAUAAGAUACUUUUGGUGCACAUUAUGGAAGAUUCUAAAAACGAAGCUACAAUUUUCUUCUUCAUUUAUUCACAAAUUGAUGGUGCAAGGGAAGUUGUUAAUAGGAGUUUGGGUGGUUUGCUUCAUUGUUGUGUUGGUGAUCAUGUUAAUAAUUGGGAUCAGGUUCUUCCUUUAGCUGAAUUUACUUAUAAUAGUUUGGUAAAUGGAACUAUAGGUCGUAGUCUCUUCGAGAUUGUGACAGGUUCAAUUCCAAGAAAGCCAUUGCCGGUGUUGAAGCUGAAGCUUUUGCCAAACAUAUUUGUGAGCUACAUGAUGAAAUUGGAAGAAAGAUCACUUUGAGCAAUGAAGGCUAUGCAGUUCAUGCUAAUUUGAGAAGAUGGUUUGCUGUAUUCAAAGAGACAUGGUUAUGGUGUGAAUCAGACUUGAACAUUACCCUAAGGGGGGUGCAUACAAGAAACUUCAUUCAAAAAGUGCUGGCCUCUACAAGAUUCUCAAGAAAAUAGGCUUUGAUGCUUAUAUUUUUGACCUGCCCGAGGAUAUGGGGAUUAGUAAUAUCUUUAAUGUUGAAGAUCUCACUUUAUAUCAAGGCCAUGAUGAUGAUGCACAACAUGACACCCUUGGUUCUAGACUUCUACCAGCUCCACAUUUGAAAAAGGAGAUUGAAGACAUUGUUGACCAUCAAGUGGUUUCUACGAGAGGUGGUGGCUGCCAAAAGUAUCUUGUCAAAUGGAGGGGGUGUCCACUUUCAGAGUGUACAUGGAUUGCGGAUGAAGAGCUCCAAAAUGCUUGGUCAUGAUCUUUAUGAUAAAUUCCAUGCUUUUACCUCGCGAGAGUCGAGUCUUCUCAAGCAGGGGAUGGAUGAUGGAGGACGUUGGCAGCAGCCAUUAAAGACUUAUAAAAGGCACCUUAAGGCUGAUUUUAAUGCUCAAGCCUUGCUUUGGAAUGUGUUGGAUGAUGUGGGGUCAUCUUGGGACCUUGCUUAGAGUCAGUUAGUUAUUCUGGAAUCUUAGUUUUAUUUUGUUCAACAGUAGUAUAAUGCUGGUUCAGUUUUAUUAAUGUUUUCUCCAGAUUUUAUAGUUAGGGGCAUUUUUGUAAUUUUUCAGAUUUUCUGGACAUAGUUUGUUAUAUGGUUCAUGGAUCAUAUUUUAGGUCUAUUUAUCUUUUGGGACUUUAUUUAUAGUCUUUAGUUGGGUUUUAUUUGUCCAGAUUACAGAUUUGUUAUUUGGAGUCGAAGUCCUAAUAGGAGUAGGAGUAUUAAAAGUCCUUAAUGCGGUCGUAAUCUCUAUUAUUUGUAGGAAAUCAAAAUAUCAGAGAUUUUUAUUAGCAGUUAUGCUUUCUCUUAGAGUUGUGUAAUAUCACUGUAACCCUAGGUGUGAUGUCUAAGGGAUUCUAGGUGUGCUUCCCAGAAAAAAAAGUUUUCUAUCUCUUUUUUUUCUUUAAUUACAACAUCCUAAAAUCUCAAACUUAGAUCUAAUUCUAUCCUCACUAAACCCUAGCAACCAAAAGCAACAAAACUCAUGGCAACUCAUCCAUCAAUUAGCCUUUAAAUUCACAAAACAAACAAAAUUUUUUAUUGUCGUUUUUCUACUCUCAACCCACAUAAAACCUUCAAAACUUCAUCUUUUUGCCUCUAUUUUGCUCCCAAAUAACUCCUCAUCCAUAUACCAACAUAAAUCCUAGUUUCUUACAUAAUUUUCCUUCCCUUUCAGCACAAAACAACCCAUUAAGAAUCCCUGAAAUUUUCCUAACCAAGGCUGUUGUACAUCAGUUUGGUAUAAGACCUGAGGUUUGCAACAUGUUCACGCGUCCAGGAAGGCCUUUUAGAGGAAGACUAACUAAUAUCCAACGACAUAGGAUGUUGUUCAGAAUCAUGGCGCAACUAGAUGGAAUAGCUGCUCUAUUUGAUGAUGUUGAAAGCUGGAUUUCUCAACCUAGUUGCAACCUGACAGUUGGUGCUCAAGUAGAAACAUUGAAUGUAACAAUAAUGCAGGAUAUGGUGAAAGUUAAGAAAUUCGGCUUGAAAAACAGCAACAAAAUCCUUUCCAGAGAUGUGAUUUGAGGGUUGUUCAUGUGCAAGGAGCUUGUCAAAAUCCUAAUCUUGAGUGGGCUAGAGAAUCUUUGGAAAGAGCUGGCUAUGAACCAUAUGAUACAACUGGUGAUAAAACAAAGAACGUUAGGAUGGAUGUUCCAGAUUUUGAAGGAAGGAAUGAUCCUGCAAUAUUCCUUGAUUGGUUGGCUUCUAUUGAGGACUAUUUUGAUUGGUAUGACAUGAUCGAUGAACAAAGAGUGAGAUUUGCCAAGAUGAAGCAGGUAGGCUUAGCAAAAGUUUAGUGGACUGGUACUGUUACUGAACGUGAUAUUAGGAGGUUGACAUAGCCACCAAUUAGUACAUGAUAAGAGAUGAAAGCAGGGCCGACAGAAUCGGUACCGGGCACCAUAUCGGUUGUCUGGCGGCAUGAGUUGGUAUGGGCCUGCACCGUGCCGUGCCAGGCCUGUACCGACAUAGUAGAAGAGACGGAAGAGAGGGAGAACGAGAGAGAAAAAGAGAGAGAAGAGGGAGGCCAGCGGAGGGCUAGGGAGCCGCCAGAAAGCCGUGGAAGAAGGGCUCCGCUUUAAUCCCCUGUUUUGUUCAAAAUAGGGGCCAGAGGGGGCCUUUUAUUUUUGAGAUUUUUAAGUGAAAGUUGGCAAUGGGUUUGCCGAUUUUCACUUAAAAACACCAAAAAAAAGGGGCCCCUUCGGUCCCUGUUUCGAAUGAAACAGGGGACCGGAGCGAGCCCCUCUUUCGCAGCUCCCUCCGCGCGGCGGCUCCUUGGCCUCCGCCGGCCGGCCUCGACCUUCCUAUCUCUUCCUUUUUCUCCCUCUCCCUCCCUCGUUGUCUCCCUCUUUUCCUCGUUCUCCUUUGUCUUCUCUCCCUUUAGCCCCUGCCUCGUUUUCAUCGCCGGAACCGUCCUGGUUUGCACCCGGUAUGACUCGGGGCGCCCCGAACCGUCCGGUUUGGGACGGUUCCACUAACACUGGAUGACAACCGUGCUUCAUGAGAAGCAUAUGCUAGCGAAUUAUCAUGAUAAGUUGUGCAAACAAUUUGUGUCUUUGAAGUAGGCAGCAUGUCGGUGGCAGAGUAUAUGCAAAGUUUGAUGACUUGAAGACUAGGAGCCAAGAUGUGGAGGAUCCCAUCAAUGCUUGGUUUAUUUAAGGUUGGUUAGAGGCUGAUAUAUGGACAACAUUAAUUUGACAACCAAUUUAUAGCGUGGAACAUGCAUUCCAGGUAGUUCUCAACAUGGAGGAGUAUUUGAGGUUCCCUAACACUAGAAAAAUUAGAUCUCAAGCUAGGGAGCCAAAGUUCCAAGGUUGUUGAAUAGAAGAAUUUGGUGAGCUAAAGACUCAAGUUGUUGCUGAAGAUACGAAAAUGCACCUCACAUCCUAACCAAAAAGUACUUUCAAGUUGAGAGCAAGAAAUCGGAUGUUAUUUGUGCUGUAGAAUCUCAAGAAGUGAAAGAAAUAGCUAUUGGUUAUGACUCAGAUAUGCCUCCGGAAGUAUCUAAGUUGUUGUCUGAGUUUUUUCUGAUGUAGUACCUGAAGAGUUGCCAAAUGAACUCCUUUUGCGUAAUAUUCAACAUGCUAUAGACCCUAUACUAGGGUCUUAAUUUCCUAACCUUCGUACCUAUGGCAUGAAUUCAAGUAGAAGAGCUACUGUCUUGCUUUAUGUACACCAGAGAAGGAUGGUUCUUGGCAUGUGUGUUGAUGGCUAAGCUAUUAACUUGAUUACUGACAAGUAUCGGCAUGGUACACUAUACCAUACCGAAUUGGGCGGUACAAGGCGUACCGUAUUGGUUCAAUACUGGUAAAUGGUAUGGAGGAUGUACCAACAGUCCAUAUGCCAAACUAGCCCUCCGUACCAGGCGUACUGACACAGUGACAAGGUGACACUAGUACAGGGCCUGGUACCGAGACAGCGUACAUUGAGUAUCGGUUUCCACCUUGUGUUGAUGAUAUGUUGGAUGUUACAAGGGGUGAUACUGUCUUUUCAAAGAUAGAUUUGAAGAGUGGCUAUCAUCAAAUCCAUGUAAGGCCUGGUGAGACCAAGGAUGUCCUUUAUGAGUGGGUGGUCAUACUUUUUGGCCUUUCUAGCGCCCCUAGCACAUUCAUGCACCUCAUGAUUCAUAUAUUACAACCCUUUAUUUGCCACUUUGGGGUUGUUUAUUUUUUAUGAUAUUUUGAUAUAUAGUAAGACCAAAGAGGAGCACAUCUCUCAUCCACAACAAGCUAUGAGAGUUCUUCGCCGAGAGAAGUUUUAGACAAAUUUGAAUAAGUGUUUAUUCAUAACUUCAAAGGCUGCCUUUUUUGGUUUUUUUGUUUCUUCUAAAGGAGUGGAGGUUGAUUCGGAAAAAGUUAAAGCUACUCGAGAGUGGCCUAUUCCUUCUACUUUGCAUGAAAUUUGAAGUUUUCAUAGCUACAUUCUAUGAUGCUUCAACAAAAAUUGCAGCACUAUAAUGGCUCUGAUCACUAAUUGCAUGAAGAUAGGACAGUUGUUUUAACCUAGGCAACAACAAAAACAUUUGAAGCAGUUAGGAAAAGGAUGACUGAAGCACCUCUUUUGCACUUUCCGGAUUUUUCUAAGGUUCGAGCUAUUGAGGUGUCGUGAUAUUACAUGUUGGUAUAGGAGCUGUACUUUAGUCAAGAAGGCCAUCUAAUUGCUUAUUUUAGCAAGAAGCUGAAUGAAGCUAAGCAAAAGCAUUCGACUUAUGAUAAAGAAUUCUAUAUUGUGGUUGAUACACUUCAUUAUUGGCAACAUUUUCUUAUUCCUAAGGAGUUUAUGUUGUAUUUCGAGCAUGAAGCUCUUAAACACAUCAACUUUCAAAGUAAAUUGAGUUGUCGCCAUGGCAAGUGGGUUGCUAUUGUACAAGAAUAUGCUUUUGUUAUCAAGUAUAAGGUGGAACUGAAAACAAAUCAAUUGAUGCUCUCAGCUGUGUAGUGGGUCGAGUGGCACUAAUUCUUUCUUCUAUGGCUGUCCAAGUUGUGGGGUUUUAUUUGCUUAAGAAAGAUUAUUUUUCUUGCAAGGAUUUUAGCAUCAUAUAUGCUAAUUUGAUGGCUGGACAGCAUGCCGACCAUUCAGAUUUCUGUUUGUGUAAUGGUUAUCUUUUCAAAGGAACUCACCUUUGCUUGCCUAAUUCCUCUUUACAUGAGCAAGUAAUUAGAGAAUUACAUUCCGCUGGGAUGGCUGGCCGUUGUGGAAGAGAUAAAACCAUUGCAAUGGUUGAGGACUGUUUCUGUUGGCCUAGUUUGAAGCGAGAUAUUGCUAGAAUUGCGUCACAAUGUUGGACUGGUCAAAUUUCAAAGGGAAGAAAGAAAAAAAAAGUUUAUGGAAGAUGCUGAAAAUGAAGCUACAAUUUUUUUCAAUUUCAUCCACAAAUCGAUGGUCAAAGGGAAGCUGUCAAUAGGAGUUUGGGUGAUUUGCUUCAUUGUUGUGUUGGUGAUCAUGUUAAUAAUUAGGAUCAAGUUCUUCUUAUGGCUGAAUUUGCUUAUGUGAAUUAAGUAAAUCAAGCUACAGGUUGUAGUCCCUUCGAGGUUGUAACAGAUUCAGUUCCAAGGAAGCCAGUUGAUCUGGUUCUUUUACCUGUUGAUGCACACCCUAGUGUUGAAGCUGAAGUUUUUGCCAAGCAUAUCUGUGAGAUGAAAUUCGAAGAAAUAUUGCUUUAAGCAAUGAAGGCUAUAAAGAACAUGCUGAUUUGAGGCGAUGAUUUCUGUAUUCAAAGGAGGCGGCAUGGUUAUGGUGUGAAUCAGACCUGAAUGUUAUCCUAAGGUUGCAUACAAGAAACUACAUCCAUAAAGUGCUGGUCCCUACAAGGUUCCAAUGUUUAUAUUCUUGACCUGCCCGAGGAUGUGGGAUUUUCUAAUAUCUUUAAUGUUGAAUAGCUCACUUUUUGUCAAGGCCAUGAUGAUAUGAUGCACAACACGACACAUCCAUUGCUAGACUUCCACUAACUCUAUGUUUGAAGGAGGAGAUUGAAGACAUUGUUGACAAUCAAGUAGUUUCUACAAGAGGUGGUGGCUACCAAAAGUAUAUUGUCAAAUGGAGAGGGCAUUUGCCAUCAGAAUACACAUGGAUCACGGAUAAAGAGCUCCAAAAGCUUGAUCAUGAUCUUUAUGAGAGAUUCCAUGCUUUUAACUUGCUGGAGUCAAGUCUUCUCAAGCCGGGGAGAGAUGAUCAAGGAUGUUGGUAGCAGCCAUUGAAGACCCAUAAAAGGCAUCCUAAGGCUGGUUCUAAUUCUCAAGCCUUGAUUUGGAAUGUAUUGGAUGAUGUGGUUCCCUCUUGGAACCUUGCUUAGGGUCAAUUAGUCAUUAUAGAAUCUUAGUUUUAUUAGUUGAAAAUUACGAUUUGUUAUUUGGAGUCCAAGUCCUAGCCGGAGUAGGAAACUAAAACUCUAUAAAUAGGGCUGUAAUCUCUCAUUAUUUGAAAGGAAAUCUCAGGGAUUUUUCCUAAGCAA
Molecule: non-coding RNA, 7231 nt
Organism: Phoenix dactylifera (date palm)
Lineage: Eukaryota; Viridiplantae; Streptophyta; Magnoliopsida; Arecales; Arecaceae
Source: RefSeq, a predicted model, not a curated record